RNAcentral lists this ribosomal RNA (416 nucleotides) under uncultured bacterium. RNAcentral's name for it is "bacterial SSU rRNA". It matches the Rfam family "Bacterial small subunit ribosomal RNA", at positions 356 to 764 of the family's 1533-position model. The record is from RNAcentral.
AGGGAAUAUUGGACAAUGGGGGCAACCCUGAUCCAGCCAUGCCGCGUGAGUGAAGAAGGCCCUCGGGUUGUAAAGCUCUUUUGUCCGGAAAGAAAAGCUUCGGGUUAAUACCCCGGGGUUCUGACGGUACCGGAAGAAUAAGCACCGGCUAACUUCGUGCCAGCCGCCGCGGUAAUACGAAGGGUGCAAGCGUUACUCGGAAUUACUGGGCGUAAAGCGUGCGUAGGUGGUUGUUUAAGUCUGAUGUGAAAGCCCUGGGCUCAACCUGGGAAUGGCAUUGGAAACUGAGCAGCUAUAGUGCGGUAGAGGGUAGUGGAAUUCCCGGUGUAGCAGUGAAAUGCGUAGAGAUCGGGAGGAACAUCUGUGGCGAAGGCGACUGCCUGGACCAGCACUGACACUGAGGCACGAAAGCGUGG